RNAcentral lists this ribosomal RNA (746 nucleotides) under uncultured Parvimonas sp. RNAcentral's name for it is "bacterial SSU rRNA". It matches the Rfam family "Bacterial small subunit ribosomal RNA", at positions 28 to 776 of the family's 1533-position model. The record is from RNAcentral. Lineage: Bacteria; Bacillati; Bacillota; Tissierellia; Tissierellales; Peptoniphilaceae.
GACGAACGCUGGCGGCGUGCUUAACACAUGCAAGUCGAACGUGAUUUUUAUGGAAAGCCCUUCGGGGACGGAAAUGAAAUGAAAGUGGCGAACGGGUGAGUAACACGUGAGCAACCUACCUUACACAGGGGGAUAGCCGUUGGAAACGACGAUUAAUACCGCAUGAGACCACAAAGCCACAUGGCUUAGGGGUAAAAGAUUUAUCGGUGUAAGAUGGGCUCGCGUCUGAUUAGCUAGUUGGAAGGGUAAAGGCCUACCAAGGCGACGAUCAGUAGCCGGUCUGAGAGGAUGAACGGCCACAUUGGAACUGAGACACGGUCCAAACUCCUACGGGAGGCAGCAGUGGGGAAUAUUGCACAAUGGGGGGAACCCUGAUGCAGCGACGCCGCGUGAGCGAAGAAGGUUUUCGAAUCGUAAAGCUCUGUCCUAUGAGAAGAUAAUGACGGUAUCAUAGGAGGAAGCCCCGGCUAAAUACGUGCCAGCAGCCGCGGUAAUACGUAUGGGGCGAGCGUUGUCCGGAAUUAUUGGGCGUAAAGGGUACGUAGGCGGUUUUUUAAGUCAGGUGUGAAAGCGUGAGGCUUAACCUCAUUAAGCACUUGAAACUGGAAGACUUGAGUGAAGGAGAGGAAAGUGGAAUUCCUAGUGUAGCAGUGAAAUGCGUAGAUAUUAGGAGGAAUACCGGUGGCGAAGGCGACUUUCUGGACUUUUACUGACGCUCAGGUACGAAAGCGUGGGGAGCAAACAGG